This 1246-nucleotide ribosomal RNA is filed under the name metagenome. Its description in RNAcentral is "bacterial LSU rRNA". It matches the Rfam family "Bacterial large subunit ribosomal RNA", at positions 1564 to 2820 of the family's 2925-position model. The record is from RNAcentral.
UGAAUACGAGACGCUAAGGCGUCGAAGUAGUGUAUGUCAUACUUCCAAGAAAAGCUUGCACUGUCAUAGAUAAAAAACGCCUGUACCAUAACCGACACAGGUGGGUAGGUAGAGUAUACUAAGGGGCGCGAGAUAACUCUCUCUAAGGAACUCGGCAAAAUAACUCCGUAACUUCGGGAGAAGGAGUGCCUUAUUCGUAAGGUUGCAAUAACAAGAUCCAAGCAACUGUUUAUCAAAAACACAGGUCUCCGCUAAGUCGUAAGACGAUGUAUGGGGGCUGACGCCUGCCCAGUGCCAGAAGGUUAAAGAAGUUCGUUAGCAAUUUCGAAGCUGAUAACUGAAGCCCUGGUGAACGGCGGCCGUAACGAUAACAGUCCUAAGGUAGCGAAAUUCCUUGUCGGGUAAGUUCCGACCCGCACGAAAGGCGUAAUGAUUUGGAUACUGUCUCGGAGAGGGGCUCGGUGAAAUAGACUUGUCUGUGAAGAUGCGGACUACCUGCACCAGGACAGAAAGACCCUUUGAAGCUUUACUGUAACUUGAAAUUGAAAUUGGACUUUAUUCGCGCAGUAUAGGUGGGAGGCGUUGAUUAUAAUCUUGUGGGAUUAUUGGAGCCAUCAGUGAGAUACCACUCUUGUAAUGUUAGAUUUCUAACUUUGAAUCAUUAUCUGGUCAAAGAACAGUUUCAGGCGGGCAGUUUGACUGGGGCGGUCGCCUCCUAAACGGUAACGGAGGCGUACAAAGGUUUCCUCUGAACGGUUAGAAAUCGUAUCUAGAGUGUAAAGGCAUAAGGAAGCUUGACUGUGAGACCUACAAGUCGAGCAGGGACGAAAGUCGGUCUUAGUGAUCUGACGGUACUGAGUGGAAAGGCCGUCACUCAACGGAUAAAAGUUACUCUAGGAUAACAGGCUGAUCUCCCCCAAGAGUUCACAUCGACGGGGAGGUUUGGCACCUGGAUGUCGGCUCAUCGCAUCCUGGGGCGGUAGUACGUCCCAAGGGUUGGGCUGUUCGCCCAUGAAAGCGGUACGCGAGCUGGGUUCAGAACGUCGUGAGACAGUUCGGUCCAUAUCCGGUGUAGGCGUUAGAAUAUUGAGAGGAGCCUUCUUUAGUACGAGAGGACCGAGAAGGACAUACCUCUGGUGUACCAGUUAUCGUGCCAACGGUAAACGCUGGUUAGCUAUGUAUGGAGUGGAUAACCGCUGAAAGCAUCUAAGUGGGAAGCCCACCUCAAGAUAAGUAUUCUCAUCUU